UACGAAGGGGGCUAGCGUUGUUCGGAAUUACUGGGCGUAAAGCGCGUGUAGGCGGGUCUUUAAGUCAGGGGUGAAAUGCCAAGGCUCAACCCUUGGAACUGCCUUUGAUACUGGAGACCUUGAGUCCGGGAGAGGUGAGUGGAAUUGCGAGUGUAGAGGUGAAAUUCGUAGAUAUUCGCAAGAACACCAGUGGCGAAGGCAGGCUCACUGGCCCGGAACUGACGCUGAGAUGCG
RNAcentral lists this ribosomal RNA (234 nucleotides) under uncultured bacterium. RNAcentral's name for it is "partial 16S ribosomal RNA". It matches the Rfam family "Bacterial small subunit ribosomal RNA", at positions 524 to 755 of the family's 1533-position model. The record is from RNAcentral.